Molecule: long non-coding RNA, 243 nt
Organism: Raphanus sativus (radish)
Lineage: Eukaryota; Viridiplantae; Streptophyta; Magnoliopsida; Brassicales; Brassicaceae
Exons: 3
Source: RefSeq, a predicted model, not a curated record
UCGGACCUUAUUGACGCCAAGAUCAGCCAGAUGAGUGAUAUGAGUUGUACGAGUGCCUCAGCUUCAAGUAAAACAACAUCUAACAUACAUCUUAGUUGAUCCUUGCUCUACAUGUCGGAUCUCUUCUAAGCUCAAUGUUUUGAAUCCAACGGAGCUCCUAGGGAGACCACUACGUCAAAUAUUCAAAUGCUUGGCCACCAUGCCUAUCGACCUGGAGUGCUAUAUCUGCCACGGUAUACAAUU